GGGUACUUAGUGCAGUGGUUAGCACGUAACCCCGGUUAAGUGAAGGCCUGGGUUAGAAUCGCGAGUCUCCA
Molecule: non-coding RNA, 71 nt
Organism: Blyttiomyces helicus
Lineage: Eukaryota; Fungi; Chytridiomycota; Chytridiomycetes
Source: the annotation of a GenBank genome assembly